GGAGGGGUGGCCGAGUGGCUUAAGGCGCCGGUUUGCUAAACCGGUGUAGGGAGUAAUCCUUACCGAGGGUUCGAAUCCCUCCCCCUCCGCCA
This 92-nucleotide transfer RNA is filed under the name Rhodospirillaceae bacterium. RNAcentral describes it as "tRNA-Ser". It matches the Rfam family "tRNA". Rfam says of the family: Transfer RNA (tRNA) molecules are approximately 80 nucleotides in length. The record is from RNAcentral. Lineage: Bacteria; Pseudomonadati; Pseudomonadota; Alphaproteobacteria; Rhodospirillales; Rhodospirillaceae.